GGAUAUCAAUCAAGCCUCUUUAAAUCUGUAACCUGAACGCACCAUAAACUGUUUUCAACAACACGGAAACGUCAGCUACUACUGAUUGGUUAGGGCAACGUGACCCCUCUCCCAGAUUUUAUUGGUUCUCUUAAAAAAUGUCCCGCCUCUCUCCGAAUUCCACAGCAGGACUCUCUUCCUAUUGGUCCACUGGGUUGGAAUACAGAGAACAACAAAAAAGAUAGGGUGAAGACCAUCGGGAUGGAUGCAGCAACCUUGACAUACGACACACUUCGCUUUGGAGAGUUUGAAGAUUUCCCUGAGACCUCAGAGCCUGUGUGGAUCUUGGGGAAAGAAUACAAUGCACUCACAGAGAGAGAUGAGAUUUUAUCAGAUGUCACAUCACGACUGUGGUUCACAUACAGAAAAAACUUCCCACCAAUUGGCGGGACAGGACCUACAUCAGAUACAGGAUGGGGAUGCAUGUUA
Molecule: long non-coding RNA, 468 nt
Organism: Etheostoma spectabile (orangethroat darter)
Lineage: Eukaryota; Metazoa; Chordata; Actinopteri; Perciformes; Percidae
Exons: 4
Source: RefSeq, a predicted model, not a curated record